UACCGCGGUUACACGAGAGGCUCGAGUUGACAGACAUCGGCGUAAAGGGUGGUUAGGGGGUAAUUCUCAAACUAAAGCCAAACGCCUUCAAAGCAGUCCGAAUGCAUUCGAAGGUAUGAAGCCCGACCACGAAAGUGGCUUUAUGACUCCUGAAUCCACGAAAGCUAAGAAA
RNAcentral lists this ribosomal RNA (172 nucleotides) under Psenopsis anomala (melon seed). RNAcentral describes it as "partial small subunit ribosomal RNA". Lineage: Eukaryota; Metazoa; Chordata; Actinopteri; Scombriformes; Centrolophidae. The record is from RNAcentral.